GAUGAACGCUGGCGGCGUGCCUAAUACAUGCAAGUCGAGCGAACGGACGAGAAGCUUGCCUCUCUGAUGUUAGCGGCGGACGGGUGAGUAACACGUGGAUAACCUACCUAUAAGACUGGGAUAACUUCGGGAAACCGGAGCUAACACCGGAUAAUAUUUUGAACCGCAUGGUUCAAAAGUGAAAGACGGUCUUGCUGUCACUUAUAGAUGGAUCCGAGCUGCAUUAGCUAGUUGGUAAGGUAACGGCUUACCAAGGCAACGAUGCAUAGCCGACCUGAGAGGGUGAUCAGCCACACUGGAACUGAGACACGGUCCAGACUCCUACGGGAGGCAGCAGUAGGGAAUCUUCCGCAAUGGGCGAAAGCCUGACGGAGCAACGCCGCGUGAGUGAUGAAGGUCUUCGGAUCGUAAAACUCUGUUAUUAGGGAAGAACAUAUGUGUAAGUAACUGUGCACAUCUUGACGGUACCUAAUCAGAAAGCCACGGCUAACUACGUG
Molecule: ribosomal RNA, 497 nt
Filed under: uncultured bacterium
Lineage: Bacteria
Description: partial 16S ribosomal RNA
Rfam family: Bacterial small subunit ribosomal RNA
Source: RNAcentral